This 71-nucleotide transfer RNA is filed under the name Loxodonta africana (African savanna elephant). It matches the Rfam family "tRNA". From Rfam's summary of the family: Transfer RNA (tRNA) molecules are approximately 80 nucleotides in length. Their secondary structure includes four short double-helical elements and three loops (D, anti-codon, and T loops). The record is from Rfam by way of RNAcentral. Lineage: Eukaryota; Metazoa; Chordata; Mammalia; Proboscidea; Elephantidae.
ACAAUGGUGGUUCAGUGGUAGAAUUCUUGCCUUCUACACAGGAAACCUGAGUUCAGUUCCCAGCCAAUACA